UGAGAACGGGACGUUUUUCAUCAUUAUCAAAAAGGUAGAAUAGCCGCAAGGCUUGAGAGGUGAGGGUGAGAAAAAGUGGUAUAAAAGGAUAGAGAAAAGGCGAUAGAGAUCAGUCAAGAGAGUAUCUCCGACCCGACAACAACUGUAUUACUUGUCACCAACUGCAUUAUUCCCAUUCGUAAUCGAAGAUAAUUAUGGCGUCGUUCUGCUGUUGGUUAUCGUUGUGUCGACCAGUGAUGUACCGAUGUCUCCUAGGUAUGGCGGUUACCGAAUCACUACUCCGCCGUCUUACUACAAAACAACAUCAAACGCAACGACCAGUUACUACACCAAGCCCCCCAACUACUACACUGAGGAGGCCGAAUGUUGCACAGCCACGUAUGCUGCCCCAGUUUACUACACCGAGGCCCACAAGUAUUACUCUGCUCCCAGCUACUACCAGAGGCUUCUGACUACACUAAGGCCCCCGAGUAUUAAAUUGAAACUUACGCUGCCCCCAGAUACUACACUGAAGCUCCGAAGUUAUCCACCACCAAGGAAAUGGAACAACCCAAUCUACGCUUCUCCAUCUUACUACACACAGCAACAACUGUAGUGCGCUAUUAGUCACCAAGUGCAGUCUUGAUCGUGCAACCAAUUCUCAUGCUUAGAUCUGACGUCGUGCUGCUGUUGGGUGUUCUAUCGUUGAUAGCGGGUUUACCACUAGUGUACCAGACUCCACCGAGGUUGGAAGUGAAACAGAAUGAGAAAUUCAUAAAGAAGGAGAGGGAAAAUGCGACGAUCAACUGAGAGAGCAUCACCGACCCGGCAACAACUGCGGCACAAUAUCUGUCACCAACUGCAUUCUUCUAAUUCUCUAUCAUGGUUAUCUAUGGCAUCGUUCUACCGUUGGUUAUCGUUUAUUGCUGAUUCGACCACUGUUCCUGAUAUCUCAUGGAUAUGGAGGCUACCAAACCGCAACGUUGCCGCCUAACUACAUAACACACGCAUCAAACAGUUACUACACCGAGGUCCACAAGUAUUACUCCAUAUUAUCUCAGCUACUACCGAGACCCACCUGCACUACACAACUAAGGCACCCGAGUAAUACAUCAUCUACGCUGCUCCAGCCUACUACACCGAUGCUCCCAAGCACUACACCACCUGAGAAUCGGAGUACUACGCGACUACGUAUGCAUCCCCAGCUUACUACACCUAUGCUCCCGAGUAUUAAUCUUCUCCAUCUUACUACACUGAAUGAUUGCUACUCUGCACCCAGCUACUUCCCCACAACUGAGGCGGCCGAGUACUAUGCAGUGCCUACUUACUACACAGCGGCUGCUACAUCGUACUACUAACUACGUUGAUCCGAAAUACUACUCCGGGGUUUCAGUUUACUUCAAAAAAAUCUACGCUACCCUGACCUACUACACUGAAGCUCCUGUUAACUGCAUAAUCAAGGCACUCGGGUAUUUCACCAAUACUUAGGAUGCCCCGACCUACUGUACCGAAGCUGCGAAGUAUUCCACUGCCCCGAGCUACUACACCAUUAAGGCACCUGAAUGUUACAUCACAACCUUCGCUUUUCCGGUUUUCUAAAGGGAGGCUGAGCCGAAAUUUCUGAUUUAUUUAUUUUUUGUUCAGAUAUGUCGGUCAUAUUUUACUAAUCACUGGGAACCGUCGUUGAUCUUAAA
Molecule: long non-coding RNA, 1673 nt
Organism: Daphnia pulicaria
Lineage: Eukaryota; Metazoa; Arthropoda; Branchiopoda; Diplostraca; Daphniidae
Exons: 5
Source: RefSeq, a predicted model, not a curated record